UUUGGUUAAGUUAGAAAGGGCGCACGGUGGAUGCCUUGACACUAGGAGUCGAUGAAGGACGGGACUAACGCCGAUAUGCUUCGGGGAGCUGUAAGUAAGCUUUGAUCCGAAGAUUUCCGAAUGGGGAAACCCACCAUACGUAAUGGUAUGGUAUCCUUAUCUGAAUACAUAGGGUAAGGAAGACAGACCCAGGGAACUGAAACAUCUAAGUACCUGGAGGAAGAGAAAGCAAAUGCGAUUUCCUGAGUAGCGGCGAGCGAAACGGAACAUAGCCCAAACCAAGAGGCUUGCCUCUUGGGGUUGUAGGACAUUCUAUACGGAGUUACAAAGGAACGAGGUAGACGAAGCGACCUGGAAAGGGUCCGUCGUAGAGGGUAACAACCCCGUAGUCGAAACUUCGUUCUCUCUUGAAUGUAUCCUGAGUACGGCGGAACACGUGAAAUUCCGUCGGAAUCUGGGAGGACCAUCUCCCAAGGCUAAAUACUCCCUAGUGAUCGAUAGUGAACCAGUACCGUGAGGGAAAGGUGAAAAGCACCCCGGAAGGGGAGUGAAAGAGAUCCUGAAACCGUGUGCCUACAAAUAGUCAGAGCCCGUUAACGGGUGAUGGCGUGCCUUUUGUAGAAUGAACCGGCGAGUUACGAUCCCGUGCGAGGUUAAGCUGAAGAGGCGGAGCCGCAGCGAAAGCGAGUCUGAAUAGGGCGUUUAGUACGUGGUCGUAGACCCGAAACCAGGUGAUCUACCCAUGUCCAGGGUGAAGUUCAGGUAACACUGAAUGGAGGCCCGAACCCACGCACGUUGAAAAGUGCGGGGAUGAGGUGUGGGUAGCGGAGAAAUUCCAAUCGAACCUGGAGAUAGCUGGUUCUCCCCGAAAUAGCUUUAGGGCUAGCCUUAAGUGUAAGAGUCUUGGAGGUAGAGCACUGAUUGGACUAGGGGUCCUCAUCGGAUUACCGAAUUCAGUCAAACUCCGAAUGCCAAUGACUUAUCCUUAGGAGUCAGACUGCGAGUGAUAAGAUCCGUAGUCAAAAGGGAAACAGCCCAGACCGCCAGCUAAGGUCCCAAAGUGUGUAUUAAGUGGAAAAGGAUGUGGAGUUGCUUAGACAACUAGGAUGUUGGCUUAGAAGCAGCCACCAUUUAAAGAGUGCGUAAUAGCUCACUAGUCGAGUGACUCUGCGCCGAAAAUGUACCGGGGCUAAAUACACCACCGAAGCUGCGGAUUGAUACCAAUGGUAUCAGUGGUAGGGGAGCGUUCUAAGGACAGUGAAGUCAGACCGUAAGGACUGGUGGAGUGCUUAGAAGUGAGAAUGCCGGUAUGAGUAGCGAAAGACGGGUGAGAAUCCCGUCCACCGAAUGCCUAAGGUUUCCUGAGGAAGGCUCGUCCGCUCAGGGUUAGUCAGGACCUAAGCCGAGGCCGACAGGCGUAGGCGAUGGACAACAGGUUGAUAUUCCUGUACCACCUCUUUAUCGUUUGAGCAAUGGAGGGACGCAGAAGGAUAGAAGAAGCGUGCGAUUGGUUGUGCACGUCCAAGCAGUUAGGCUGAUAAGUAGGCAAAUCCGCUUAUCGUGAAGGCUGAGCUGUGAUGGGGAAGCUCCUUAUGGAGCGAAGUCUUUGAUUCCCCGCUGCCAAGAAAAGCUUCUAGCGAGAUAAAAGGUGCCUGUACCGCAAACCGACACAGGUAGGCGAGGAGAGAAUCCUAAGGUGUGCGAGAGAACUCUGGUUAAGGAACUCGGCAAAAUGACCCCGUAACUUCGGGAGAAGGGGUGCUUUCUUAACGGAAAGCCGCAGUGAAUAGGCCCAAGCGACUGUUUAGCAAAAACACAGCUCUCUGCGAAGCCGUAAGGCGAAGUAUAGGGGGUGACACCUGCCCGGUGCUGGAAGGUUAAGGAGAGGGGUUAGCGUAAGCGAAGCUCUGAACUGAAGCCCCAGUAAACGGCGGCCGUAACUAUAACGGUCCUAAGGUAGCGAAAUUCCUUGUCGGGUAAGUUCCGACCCGCACGAAAGGUGUAACGAUUUGGGCACUGUCUCAACCAGAGACUCGGUGAAAUUAUAGUACCUGUGAAGAUGCAGGUUACCCGCGACAGGACGGAAAGACCCCGUGGAGCUUUACUGUAGCCUGAUAUUGAAUUUUGGUACAGUUUGUACAGGAUAGGCGGGAGCCAUUGAAACCGGAGCGCUAGCUUCGGUGGAGGCGCUGGUGGGAUACCGCCCUGACUGUAUUGAAAUUCUAACCUACGGGUCUUAUCGACCCGGGAGACAGUGUCAGGUGGGCAGUUUGACUGGGGCGGUCGCCUCCUAAAGUGUAACGGAGGCGCCCAAAGGUUCCCUCAGAAUGGUUGGAAAUCAUUCGUAGAGUGCAAAGGCAUAAGGGAGCUUGACUGCGAGACCUACAAGUCGAGCAGGGACGAAAGUCGGGCUUAGUGAUCCGGUGGUUCCGCAUGGAAGGGCCAUCGCUCAACGGAUAAAAGCUACCCCGGGGAUAACAGGCUUAUCUCCCCCAAGAGUCCACAUCGACGGGGAGGUUUGGCACCUCGAUGUCGGCUCAUCGCAUCCUGGGGCUGUAGUCGGUCCCAAGGGUUGGGCUGUUCGCCCAUUAAAGCGGUACGCGAGCUGGGUUCAGAACGUCGUGAGACAGUUCGGUCCCUAUCCGUCGUGGGCGUAGGAAAUUUGAGAGGAGCUGUCCUUAGUACGAGAGGACCGGGAUGGACGCACCGCUGGUGUACCAGUUGUUCUGCCAAGGGCAUAGCUGGGUAGCUAUGUGCGGAAGGGAUAAGUGCUGAAAGCAUCUAAGCAUGAAGCCCCCCUCAAGAUGAGAUUUCCCAUAGCGUAAGCUAGUAAGAUCCCUGAAAGAUGAUCAGGUUGAUAGGUUCGAGGUGGAAGCAUGGUGACAUGUGGAGCUGACGAAUACUAAUAGAUCGAGGACUUAACCAUAUAA
RNAcentral lists this ribosomal RNA (2930 nucleotides) under Bacillus thuringiensis. RNAcentral's name for it is "bacterial LSU rRNA". It matches the Rfam family "Bacterial large subunit ribosomal RNA". The record is from RNAcentral. RNAcentral also lists the same sequence under 2 other names. Lineage: Bacteria; Bacillati; Bacillota; Bacilli; Caryophanales; Bacillaceae.